CACAGUCUGUUCUGUUCCAAAGCCUUGUCUGGAUGUAAUUGACAACUAUAUAGACACUGCUGAGGGGAGGGUGUCCGAUUCUGCUCGUCCUCAAUUGUUCUCAAAUUACAUGAUAAAGUAGAAGUUUUGGAUCCUUCAUACCAGAAAGAGUUACGGAUUCCAGUUACAAAGUCUGUACCACAUUAACAAGGCUAAUUGUAGCUGCCUCGAGCACAGAGCAGCCUAGAAACUCAGAAUUCCAAAAGCAAGGUGCUUGCGAUACAAUUAUUUUGCCUAUUUGGAAAAGGAAGACUUCUGUGAUUUGAGAUUCAGCUCUUUCUCUGUAUUGUUGCAAUCUGUUCUCAUGACCCUUAAGAUAUGGGUUAGGUUUUGUUUGGGCGCCGUAUGGAGACUAGCUAUUAGUGCAGUGUUAAUAUUGCUCAGUUAAAUCUUGGGGAGAUACUGUCUGAAGUGUGCAAGAGGACAUGCCGAAUUCACACUCGGCUGGCAAACUCCAUCCCUGGUUCACAGAGGCAAAGAACUCUGUGACUUGCAUGUGUUCUCACUGACUCUUCCCUCCCAAAGGAUAGGGUCAAGGAGUUCACUGAGGAUGCCCUCAGUGAAAAAUCUCAUGCAGAAACUUCUACUAAGGGCGGCUGACACUCCAGUGUCACACUGGGCAUCCGUGGAUGAGUUUCUCUUAG
RNAcentral lists this long non-coding RNA (683 nucleotides) under Bos indicus x Bos taurus (hybrid cattle). RNAcentral's name for it is "lncRNA (ENSBIXG00000014713.1)". Lineage: Eukaryota; Metazoa; Chordata; Mammalia; Artiodactyla; Bovidae. The record is from RNAcentral.